GGGGAAAAAAGAGUCACAAAAAGUGUUAAAAGUUAUCUAGUAGCAAUUCAAAACAGUGUUGAACGUCUGUCAAAACACAGAUAGGUUUUUUAAAAAGCUAUAGGACAUUUCGUUGAUAAAAUGCAAGUGCAUUUGGAGUUUAAGCUGAGGUCAAAUCUUCAAAGAGUAAGGAUGCUAAUCUCUAUAAACACUAAAGCUUGCUGUGUUGUCAUUCUCAGGGAGAUAGUGUGUCUCUGUGUGUCUGGUGUCUCUAUGUUUGUGUAUGUUAGACAGCACAACAGAAAUCUUCCAAUGGCUGCGACUGUGAAAGCUGUGAACUGACCUGAGAUGAGCUCAUAAGUGGAGAGGAGCUGAGCCAUAUGGUGGGUCGCACUCAAACAAGAUAUUAUGGAAAAACACGCCAUUCAGGAUUGAGAGCACCCGAGGGAAAAGAGCUGGCUGUGCCCCAACUAAGGGAUGUGAAUGUGCACAACAGAACACACACACACACAUCUGCACACACUGUAUGGAGGUUAUGUUAAGUGCAACACAAAACUGUUAUCAGAAUUAUAAGUGGAGAUUGUAAUGCCGGCAAAAUGACAUAUAAUUACCGUCAUGUGGGGUUUAUUACUUAGUUCCAAAUGCAGAGCAAUUCAAGCUGUACAAAGUCAGUCUUUAUCUGAAAAGAUCCCAAAGAAGUUACUACUACACUAUGGAAAUGUUUGAUGAUUUUUAUAACAAAAAAUGGCACCAAACACAAUCCACAGAUUUACCAAAGCUGUACAUAUUUUAUCAUGUUGGGAUUGAUUCUGGUUUGUCUGUUUGUCGUUCUUGGGUAUUGGUGGUAAUCCUCAUUCAAAGCCACAAGAAUAAAAUAACACCAGACUAACUCCUAUCAUCUCCUUGUAAAAGCUGUUGCUUUGUCCCCUUUGACUCCUCUGACACACAGAAAGUUCUUUGGGAAACAAAAUCUGCCAGAAAAAAUGUGACUUUGUGAAGACACUGAUUUACAGCCCAAUCCCUCUACUUGUUUACUGUGGCUCCUUAGAUGUAUUUUAAGAAUGUAGACCCAUAACCGUAUUUUAGCAGUUUGUCAGAAACUAUUUAUGUGACUUUCUUCUUGUCUUACCAUGUAAAGGGUUAGUGCACUACAACUGGUAUCAUUGCACAGAUUAAGUACAAUAAAAAGUAUGCCAACUAAUAGAAAGGAUGAAAAGCAGGCUGAAAAAGGGUGGAGCAAAUUAAAAAGAUGAAUAAAGAAUUUGAUAACACGCACAGUCAAGGAAGACUGCUGCUUUCACAUAAGCACGAAACUCCCAAAAACGUCCUGAAAUUUCUUAAAAGGGGUGGUAUGUGUGAACACAAACUUUACCUUGACUACAAGCCCUUCAGUAAACUAAAAAGUGGAAGAUCUGACAUUGGAAGGCUGCAGGAAGUACUUGAGGAAAUUCACCAUGAGUGAUCACACGGAUGAUAACAAGUGACGACCUAAAAGAGAAUAUAUAAAAUCAUAUGUGUAUUAUAUAUUCACAUGCCUACAUAUUUGCAGUUUAGCACCUGGCUUUUCUACUUUCACUGAAACACCAUGUGGGACAUUCGGUGGUCGAUAUGGAGAAAGAAAAAGGACCUGGAUGCCGUUAGGCUGUUAACACAUUUCUGUUGAUUUAAAAAAAAAGGAGCAAAAACAUAGAUGAACGUCAGUUUCUGCCCAACACUGCUUGCUACUUAUUGAUGAAAACACCGAAACAACAAUGUAACAAAUGUCUUUUCUGCAAUCUAUCACAGGAUAUUUAACCUAAUGCAUUUCAGCAACAAAUACGGUACACCAAACAAUGAAAUAAUCAGAUAACUUUAUAGCCCAACUCCUCAGGAAACACAGUUUUACAGGAUUAUUUUGAUAAGGUUUGUUUCUACUAAAAAAAGCAUUGAGGGAGAUCGGGAAGGCUUUGGAAAAAGGCUUUUAGGUGGUUCAGGCACCUGACUGAGAUGCAUGUUGGGCGCCCUCCAUUAGACUGUAACUGGGAGCAGACCUUGUCGUAAGGUUUCCACAUUCUACCUUGCAUAGAAAUGCAAUGGGGCCCAGAAACCAUAACUGGGCCGAGGGUAUGUCUGGGGUACAAUUAUGAACCAACCCUGGGUAAGAAGUAGCCCUGGAGGAUGUAGUCUCAAGCCACAGUCCCAUUUGACUUUCCAGUUUUCUGAUAUAGAUUUUAAUUUGACCGGCUUAAUGUGAACUUUCUUUCUGAUUAUAUGGAGAACUUUUUUUUUACUAAAACACUCCAAUAACAGCCAACUUUUACAAUAUCUGUAAACUAGAGAAUUCUCAGCAAAUAAAAUAUAGGAACAGCUUUGCAUACUCCACCCGAGAGCCCUGCUACCAAUAAUGCUGCGGUUUCUGUGGCAACACUCCAUGUUAUCAAUAAGUCCUUGGGAGAUUAUUCGGCAGACUAAAUAGUCUAGUUUUGUUUAAAACACACUUGUACUCCUUUAGCUUUUUUCCCUUUCAUUUGAUAUGUCUGGUUGCCUCAUUGCCAGGAGGAUGAUCAGACUACAUCUUUAUAUUCAUCUACUCUACUCCUGCCCUCUGUAACAGCAUGCAACACUUCAGUAAGUCUCACACAUGACACGUUUGCUGCUCUGGAAACAGUUCAUUUUAAGACAAAUAUUUGCGGGCACAUACUGACCAAAACACAGCACUAGAAAGCAGGAAAACACAAAAAGGCAUAGUUAUGGGUGUUGUGAGUUUUGUUGAAACCAGACUAAUCAUGGACAGGACAAGUGUUGAAGAGACUCGAUGAAACCAUGCAUGUCUUGCUUGUACCCUGUUGAAGACUCCUCGCCCCAUCUGUUUGCAACCUUUAGACAGUUUGUUUUUUACACAAGACAUUCUCAAGAGCUCUAUGUGCUAUUCUAGCAUUAUCAAACCCCUGCCAAUCAUCAAAUCCUAAAACUUUUAGCAAAACUCCUCUUCCUCUGUUGUACAUCAAGACAAUGCAAUCCAGGGACAGUUCAGUCGGCAUGUUGCAGGCCUGUGUUUGCAAAUAUUACUCAAACCACAAGAAGGGGUUUAGAUUACCACCAUCUCAAAAACCUAUUUGUGACAGAUUGUUUGACACACAAAAAUAGCCAGGAAACUUUUCAAAGCAUAAAGAAAGCCCCCAAAUCCC
This 3146-nucleotide long non-coding RNA is filed under the name Xyrichtys novacula (pearly razorfish). Lineage: Eukaryota; Metazoa; Chordata; Actinopteri; Labriformes; Labridae. The record is from RNAcentral.